Brassica napus (rape) is the source of this 119-nucleotide non-coding RNA. NCBI's taxonomy places the organism in Eukaryota, Viridiplantae, Streptophyta, Magnoliopsida, Brassicales, Brassicaceae. The record is from Rfam.
UUGCUCGUUGAAAUGAGAGAUGAUUGGCAUCUCUUCUGACAAAGAUGUGAUUAACCUUCGGGUCUUUGAAUGCAUCUGGUUAAGUUUCUCCACCCUCGGGUAGAUCUUAACCCAUUUCA